This 508-nucleotide ribosomal RNA is filed under the name uncultured bacterium. Its description in RNAcentral is "partial 16S ribosomal RNA". The record is from RNAcentral.
GGAGUUAGCCGGUGCUUCUUCUGUGAGUGAUGUCCUUCCUGCCGGCUAUUAACCCGCAGGCCUUCUUCCUCACUGAAAGUGCUUUACAACCCGAAGGCCUUCUUCACACACGCGGCAUGGCUGGAUCAGGGUUGCCCCCAUUGUCCAAUAUUCCCCACUGCUGCCUCCCGUAGGAGUCUGGGCCGUGUCUCAGUCCCAGUGUGGCUGAUCAUCCUCUCAGACCAGCUACGGAUCGUCGCCUUGGUGAGCCGUUACCUCACCAACCAGCUAAUCCGACAUAGGCUCAUCCGAUAGCGCGAGGCCCGAAGGUCCCCCGCUUUCCCCCGUAGGGCGUAUGCGGUAUUAGCCUGGGUUUCCCCAGGUUAUCCCCCACUACCGGGGCAGAUUCCUAUGCAUUACUCACCCGUCCGCCGCUCGCCACCAGGGAGCAAGCUCCCCGUGCUGCCGCUCGACUUGCAUGUGUUAGGCCUGCCGCCAGCGUUCAAUCUGAGCCAGGAUCAAACUCUGA